AGCAAGGAUAGGUCAGGCCAAGCCAGGCCAGGCAAGGCAAGGCAAGGUGGGACAAGGCCAGGCAAGGCAAGGAAAUCCUAGGCCAGGCAAGGCCAGGCAAAGCAAGGCAAGGUAAGGCCAUGGAAAACAAGGCAAGGCAAGGCAAGGCCAGGAAAUGCCAGGAAAGGCAAGGCAAGGCCAGGCCAGGCCAGGCAAGGCAAGACAAGGCAAGGCCAGGCAAGGCAAGGCAAGACCAGGCCAGUCCAAACCAGGCCAGGUCAGGCAAGGGCAGGCAAGGCAAGGACAGGCCAGGCUAGGAAAGGUCAGGCAACAAAAAGCAAGGCACGGCAAAGGAAUGAAAGUCAAGGUAAUGCAAAGCAAGG
RNAcentral lists this long non-coding RNA (362 nucleotides) under Gallus gallus (chicken). Its description in RNAcentral is "lncRNA (ENSGALG00010026169.1)". Lineage: Eukaryota; Metazoa; Chordata; Aves; Galliformes; Phasianidae. The record is from RNAcentral.